Molecule: long non-coding RNA, 34406 nt
Filed under: Marmota monax (woodchuck)
Lineage: Eukaryota; Metazoa; Chordata; Mammalia; Rodentia; Sciuridae
Source: RNAcentral
CAAAGAUGCCAGUCUGGGAGGGGACUGAAGCCAAUCCAGCUCCUGAGGUAAGUUAGCAGUGGAAAUCUCAUGAGUUGUUAGAAGUCUCACAGAACUCAAGUGGCAGGUAACGCCAGAACAGGGGCUUCCAGAAAAAGGUAACCUUGAAAUACUAAGGUGCAGUUGAGAAGGACCCAGCAUUCCCCUUGGCCUCCUCCUUGCCUCAGCAGGGAAUGAGCUUCCUGAGCUCAGGUUCAUCAUGAGGGCUUGGCCAGGUCUUGGAUCUGUGAUGGCAGAGAGCUGAUGGAGGGUAUUCCAAGUUGAAUAUUCUGAGAGGAGGAAUCACAAACCCUCUUUCUUUUCCUCAUUUUCUUAGGAUUGUUCACAUACUCAGAUUUCUUGCCUGAGGCAGAGUGUCCCCAAGUGCCUCAUGACACCUCCAGAAAAAGAAGACAUGUUUCCUGUUACUCUCAAAGGCACUGCAGAUUUCUGGCUGCAGGUUCUGAUGCUUUUGUGAUGAAUUUUCUGAUGCUUUUGUGAUGAAUUAGAAAAGUCAGGGCUCAACCCUCUCUCUCACCACGAAAAAUUUGAUCUCCCAAGAUGAAACCUUAGAACCAGGACAAAAUGUAAGCAGAGGUUAAUAGUUAAGGUGCAAAACUGUCUUGAAUAGGAGGAACAUUACUCAGCCCUAGACAUUUAGCAGCACUGAUUCUGGUUUUUGCUUUGGAGGUGCUGAGAAUGGAACCCAGGGCCAUGGACAUGAUAGCUAAGCAUUCCAGCACACAGCAACACCACCAGCUCAGUGCUGCUGUCUUUAAGACUCAUGUGGAAUUGUUAGACUUAAUGUGUCAGUAAUCUGAUUUUCAUUUCAAACCUAAUUUGUUUGCAUGCAGAGAGAUCCAUGCAUGAGUAGAAGUAUACUUUAGACGUUGAUAUCAUACUACUGAGAAAAUGAAAGAUCUGUGGGGCUAAUGAUUGUUUUAGUGUUACGUUGGUAAUAUUAUGAGUGAAUUACAUAGAUAUGUAUGAUAAAUUAAUUAUAUUUCAUAGUAAAAAUAUUUAAAUAUGUAAAACAUUAACAAAUACCAAACUGCUAAAUAUAUGCUUGUAUUAAAGUAGGAUUUGCUAUAGACUAGACUAUCCACCAAGAGAAAUCAAGAGAAGUUCUAUAUUUAGGAUAAACAAGCCAUACUCUGAAUUGCUGUUUGUGUUCUCUUAACAACAGCAACAAUAUGAAGAAAUAAAGACUUUAAGCAACUACUGUAAGGCUGGACAUGAGUCCUGGUGCAUUCCUCUCUUAGAGAAGUUCCUAAGGCAUAAUGGAAAACAUUAUGAAAUUUUUUCAAAAACUUGAAAGAACUGCCAUAUAAUUGAUCUAGCAACCCCCCAUUUGUUUGUCGAUGAAUAAAGAAUAUGUGAAGUGUGUGUGUGUGUGUGUGUGUGUGUGUGUGUGCGCGCGUAUGAUAGGGUAGGUAUUGAGAGAGUGAGAAUGAUAAUAUUAUUCAAUCAUUUUUUUCCUUCAUAAAUGGGGGUUUAUCCCAGGGGCAAUUUACCCCUUAGCCACUUCCCAAGCUCCCCACCCCCUUUUUUGUAAGAGAGAGAGAGAGAGAGAGAGAGAGAGAGAAAUUUUUAAUAUUUAUUUUUAAGUUUUCAGUGGACACAUCUUUAUUUUAUUUUUAUGUGGUGCUGAGGAUCAAACCUAGUGCCCCGCGCAUACAAGGUGAGCGUGUUACCUCUUGAGCCACAUCCCCAGCCUGCCAAGUCCUUUUUAAUUAUUUAUUUAGAGACAAGAUCUCCCUAAGUCACUUAGGGUCUUGCUAAGUUGCUGAGGCUGGCUUUGAAUUCAUGAUCCUCCUGCCUCAGCCUUCAAAGCUUAUGGGAUUAUAAGAGUGUGCCAGAACACCUGGCUAUUAUUCAGUCUUAAAAAGAAAAUCCUCUCAUUUGUAACAGCAUGGAUUCCUGAGGACAUCAUGCUACUGAGAUCAGCAGACACAGAAAGAGAGAUACUGCUUGAUCUCACUUCUGUGUGAAACCUAAAAUAGUCAAACUCAUAGAAGCAGAGAGUCCAUGGUGGGCAUGAGGGCUGUUGAUAGGGGAAAAGGGAUAGGUGAUGUUGGUUAAGGUUAUAAAGAUUAUACACGAUGGAGAAUUUCUAAAGAGCUAAUGAAUAGCAUGGUGAUUACAGUUAAUAAUAUGGGCUGUUUAAAAAUUGCUAAGGGGGUAGAUCUUGGGUAUUGCUAAGGGGGUAGAUCUUGGGUAUUCUCAAUACACACACACACAUACACAUACACACACACACACACUCAGAAGAAAAUGGUGACUGAGCUGAAAGAUAAGUUCAGUAAUUUGUUCUGAUCAUUUCACAGUGUAUCCAAACCUCAUGUUCUGUACAUCAAUGUAUACAAAUUUAAUUUCACAGUUACACCUCAACAACAGUGUUAACAAAAACAGUAACCAAGAGUCUGCAUGGUGUGGGCACCAGUGCCGAAGGAUGGAACAAGGUCAGCCAUUCUCAGGGGAUGCACCCAAAGAGCCAUUCAGCGGGACAGUGCCUUCUCACUGCUGAGAAGCAAUCUGUCUCUUUAGGAGGUCUUGGGGAUUGUUUCCAGGGAAUAUCACCACUCUCUAGAUCAAAAAGCACUGGUGGAUUUGCAGCAGGAAUUACCUCACUGCUGCCCACAAAGCUCCUAUCAUCAGCAUGAAAGGUUUAUGUUUUAAGUAGGAUCAAAGCUAUAGCUACUUAUUUUCCUUAUUAAUUGCUCUGUUUUUGAAGAUUCUGAGUUGGUAAAUUAUAAUUUCCUCUACUGUUCACAGUAGGUCUCUAUUUAAUCCUUCCAUAGAUAAGUAGCUUUUGACAAAUCCAACAACUGAGGUUGGCCUGCUGGAUGCAUAAGGAAAUACAAAGGAACAAGAGUUAAAUAUAAAAUGCUUUGGUUAUUGAUACUUUUCAUGUCUUCAGUGGAAUAAAGGGAUAGACCAAGCUUAUAUGGUGACCCAAGCAAACUGUAGCCUUUAACUGAGAACCCCUUUUGGGAAAGAUGAUUACAGUGGGUUGUUUCUCUUCCAGAAAACUUUAUAUGCAACACUUAGCAUCAGAAUCUUCUCCAAAGGGGAAACUAUGCUGAAACUUCACAGACAAAAGUUUCAGCAUAGUUUUCUUCCUAGCCUUCUUCACAGACAUAAGAAGGCUAGGAAAAUUCCCAAGAGAAUAAGCAAGGACAGAGUAGAGUCAAGAGAGUCAAGGAGAGAGUCAUAUCAGCAGGCUUUAAACAGUUCUUAAUAAAUGGGAUGAAGAAAUCAGAUAUUGAUAGAGUAAAUAGCAAAGCUUAGUACAAGACUCCCAGAAGUUGUGUGGCCCCAUAAGAUCUCCCAGAUUGUCCCAAGAAAGAAUCUACUUUGUCCAACCUAGUUGGUUUGAAUCCAGAAAACUUGACCCUGAGUUUCCUGGGAAAAUAGUCCCACCAUCUGAUCAGCACAAGGCCUGAUGGAAAGGAGAAGUUCUCUUAUGUACACAAAAGAGUGAAAAAAUGGUCCAAAGAUUGAAAAUAGAUAUUUCUGGGACUCUUUCACACAGGAUCCCCAUGCACCAAACCCACUGGGGAAUAUCUAAUUAGGGUAUACUUAGCUUGAGAGGACAGAAAUCUGCCAGGUUUGGUAGAAUUAAAGGAAAAUUGUGGAUGAAAACAAAUGUUUUAAAUUCUUCAUGAGAAUAUUGUGUUUCAUUGAACUGAGUGUUUUAUGGAGAUAGAUACUGUUUGAGGAAUUUUUUAAACUAGUGUUGUACAACAGAAGCUGGUAAGUGUCGUCUUUUUAAAAAAAUUUUAUUCUAAUUUCUUAUAUAUGACAACAGAAUGCAUGACAAUUCAAGUUACACAUAUAGAGCACAAUUUGUCAUAUCUCUGGUUGUGUACAAAGUAUAUUCAUACCAUUCAUGUCUUUAUACAUGUACUUAGGGUAAUGAUGUCCAUCUCAUUCCACUGUCUUUUGUACCCCUGUGCCUUCUCCCUUUCCCUCCUAUUCCUUUGCCCUAUCUAGAGUUCUUCUAAUCCUCCCAUGUUCCCCCUCCCAACCGCAGGAUGAAUCAGCCUCCCUAUGUCAGAGAGAAUAGUCAGCAUUUGUUUUUUGGGGGGAUUUGCUAAAUUCAUUUAAUCUCCAACUCCAUUCAUUUGCCUGCAAAUGCCAUGAUUUUGUUCUGUUUUGCUGCUGAGUAGUAUCCCAUUGGAGAUAUAUAUAUAUAUAUAUCACAUUUUCUGUGUCCAUUCAUCUACUCUAGGGCAUCUGGGUAGAUUCCACAAUUUAGGUAUUGUGAAUUGUCCUGCUAUAAACAUCGAUGUGUCUGUGUCCAUGUAGUAUGCUGUUUUUAAGUCCUUUGGGUAUAGAUCAAGAACUGGGAUAGCUGUGUCAAAUGGUGGUUCCAUUCCUAGUUUUUCAAGGAAUCUCUAUAUUGCUUUCCAGAUUGGCUGCACCAAAUUGCCGUCCCACCAGCAAUCUAUGAGUGGGCAUUUUCCCCUCACAUUCUCGCCAACACUUAACUGUUGUUUGUAUUCUUAAUAGCUGCCAUUCUGACUGGAGUGAGAUGAAAUCUUAGAGUAGUUUUGAUUUGCAUUUCUCUAAUUGUUAGAGAUGUUGAACAUGUUUUCAUGUGUUUGUUGAUUGAUUGUCCAUACUCUUUUAAGAAGUGUCUGUUCAGUUCCUUGGGCCAUUUACUGAUUGGGUUAUUUGUUUUAUGGUGUUUAGCUUUUUGAGUUAUUUAAGUAUUCUAGAGAUUAGUGCUCUAUCUGAUAUGUGAGUGGUAAAUAUUUGCUCCCAAGAUGUAGGCUUUUUAUUUACUGAUUGGGUUAUUUGCUUUGUGGUGUUUAGCUUUUUGAAUUAUUUAAGUAUUCUAGAGAUUAGUGCUCUAUCUGAUAUAUGAGUGGUAAAUAUUUGCUCCCAAGACGUAGGCUUUUUAUUUACCUCUCUGAUUGUUUGUUUUGCUGAAAAGAAGCUUUUUAGUUUGAAUCCAUCCCAUUUUUGAUUCUUGAUUUUAAUUCUUGUGCUAUAGGAGUCUUAUUAAGAAUACGACAUGAUAGAGAUUUGAGCCUACUUUUUCUUCUGUUAGAUGCAGAGUUCCUAGUUUAAUUCCUAGGUCCUUGAUCCACUUUGAGUUGAGUUUUCAGAAUGGUGAGAGAUAGGGGUUUAUUUUCAUUUUGUUGCAUAUGGAUUUGCAGAUUUCCCAGUACUGUUUAUUGAAGAGGCUAUCUUUUAUCCAGUUCAUGUUUUUGGCACCUUUGUCUAAUAUAAGAUAAUUGUAAUUUUGUAGGUUAGUCUCUGUGUCUUCUAUUCUGUACCAUUACUCUACUAGCCUGUUUUGGUAUCAAUACCAUACUGUUUUUGUUACUAUUGCUCUGUAGUAUAGUUAAGAUCUUGUAUAAUGAUGCCACCUGCUUCACUCUUCUUGCUAAGGAUUGCUUUAUUAGCUUUUCUGCAUUUCUUAUUUUUCCAGAUGAAUAUCAUGACUGCUUUUACUAUUUAUAUGAGGAAUGCCAUUGGAAUUUUGAUUGGAAUUAAGCAUUAAGUUUGUAUAGUGCUUUUGGUAGUACAGUCAUCUUGACAAUAUUAAUUCUGGCUAUCCAGGAAGAAGGAAGAUAAUUCUGUCUUCUAAGGUCUUAUUUAUUUUUUUCUUUAGCAUUCUGUAGUUUUCAUUGUAGAGGUUGAUUGCCAAGUAUUUUAAAUUUUUUGAGGCUAUUGUAAAUGGUGUAGUUUUCCUCAUUUCCCUUUCAGAGGAUUUGUCACAAAUGUACAGAAAUAUCUUUGAGUUAUGGAUGUUUAUUUUGUAUCCUGCUAUUUUGCCUAAUUCAUUUAUUAGUUCUAGAAAUUUUCUGGUGGAAUUUUUGGAUCUUCUAGGUAUAGAAUCAUAUUGUUGAGAAAUAGUGCUAAUUUGAGUUCUGUGUCCCUUAAUUUCUUUUGUAUGUCUAAUUGUUCUGGCCAGUGUUUCAAGACCUAUAUUAAAUAGAAGUGGUGAAAGAGGGCAUCCUUUUCUUGUUCCAGUUUUUAGAGCAAAUGCUUUCAAUUUUUCUGCAUUUAGAAUGAUGUUGGCCUGGAGCUUAGCACAGAUAGCUUUCAUGAUCUUAAGAUAUGUUCCUGUUAUCUCUAGUAAUGUGCAAUAUUAAUUAGACAUUCUAAAUUUGAACAAGAUGAUUGCUUGAGCCCACACAGAGAAUGGGAUUUGAAGAUCAUAGGCUAGAAUCUGGAGUACUGGAAUGGACAGAUACUUUAUAACAUUGUUCUGGGUAAAGUGUAACCGGGUGCUUGCACAAAAACCUGUGAGCCACCUCCCAAUGAUAACUGAUAGAACUUUGACAAAGAGAGCGUUCAUUCAAAGGGUAAUUACUCCCUUGCUAUUAGUUGAAAAUGCCCCUGUAACUGAAUAACAGAAAAUAUCCCUGAAACACAAAAUAUGCAUGAUGUCUUAGGUGAUGUUGGAGGCAUGGUGUAAUGGGGAGGGCUGGUAAUAAAUGAAAAGGCUUGUGCAGAAACCUACUCUCAGGAGACAGAGUUAGUUGACAUAUUCCUGAGCAGUUUGGUCUUUUCCCUAGGACUGACUUUAGAGCAACCUGUGGAAUUGUGGGAUUCUAUCCCCACUUGGACUCUUCCCUUUGAACAGCUAGUGAUUGACAAGCAAAGAGCUGGUUGGUUUCUGGGUGGCUGCAGCACACAUGCAGUGAAAUUAAGAAAAGGUAAAAGCAGAUCAACUUUGUAGGUUGAAUAACAUGAUGUUUGCUCUGCAUUUGGUUUUUAUCCUGACUGAUGGGAGUCAGACUCAGUCACCUGCCCUAAUUAUGAGGCAGAAGGACAAAGGAAAGCUGGUCUAUUUAGGGAUUGCCUCUAUGGGGUACAACCCAUAGAAAUCACUAGGGGAUGUGAAAGGUGCAUUGAAGUAGGAGUUGCCAUUGUUUACCAGAAGACCCUCCGUCCAGGAUUGGGACAUAAUUUGAAUUGACAAGUAGGUUUCCCAGUGUGCUUGCUUGAGUUGGUCACCUGGGUGCAUGGUAGGGGGCUGUAGCAACACACAGAUGGGCUGUUUCCAGACAUGUUGAAUUUGCACCCUGUGAGGUACAAGGUAUCGGUAAGAACUGUCCUGUCUGUGAGGGAGGGAGGAGGAUGGUGCCUCUGACUAUGGGGCAGAUUCCCAGAAGAGAAGGCCUUGCCCAGAGCUGGUAAUUCUGUAUCCCUGGGACACUAUGGUCUGUACCUGUAGGAAGAGAAAUAGACUCUGGACUGGCUCAUGUGGUCUUGAAAGCUGAUGAGUCCCAAGAUCUGUCUUCAGCAAGCUGGUGGCUCAGGAGAACCAAUGGUGGAAUUCCAGCCUGUCCUAAAGGCCUGAACACUAGAAAGCCAAUAGUGUAGUUGAGGUGAGAAGGUGGUUGGAUGAUACCCAGGAAGUGAUGUUCCAGUUCAUAUCUGAAGGCAGAUGAAAUCCACAUCAUGGCUCAAAGGCAGUUGGGCAGGAGCAGAGCAGUUCACCAUUACUCAGUGUUUUUUCUCUAUCCAGGCCUUCAACUGAUUGGAUGAGGCCACUCCUGAUGGGCAGGACAGUCUGCUUUACUUAGUUUACUGACUCACAUGUUUCUCUCAUGGAAAACAACUUCACAAUCACACCCUUACUCAGGUUUUCUAAAUAUGUGAGACCCCUAUGGCCCACUGACGUGUUGACCCUUGAAGUAAACUGAUAACAAUCACUUAUGUUUCACUUAGUAAUAAAAAACUGUCUGAUACAUGAGCUGUUAAAUGUUUCUCAUCUUCUUGACAAUAAUACUUCAAUGACUUUACAAAACCAUAAGAGAUUACCCCAUAAAUUCAUAAAUCAAUUUAUGAUUAGGAACAAAAAUAUACAGAAUUUAUAUGAGUCGUAAAGUCUAAUUUUUCACUAGUUAAUUCACAAGCUACUUGGAUUAAAUGUGAUAUAAAAAUCUACAAAUACAUCCAAGCUGUAUAUAAAAUAUGAACAGAUACAUGGUAUAUGUUCCCUGAUAUAUGAUAUUCUAUCAAAGGCAAAAGUAUAGGGACAAGGAAAGGAUCAGUGGUUGCCAAGGAUUAGGCAGAGGGAGGGGUAAAUAUGUGAGGCACAGGAUUUUGGGGGCAGUUAAACUGUUUUGUAGGAUACAAUAAUAAUGGAUACAUAUCAUCAUACAUUUGUCCAAACCCGUUGAAUGCAGGAUAGCAAGAAUAAAAUCUUUCAUUGGGUGAUAAAAAUAAGUGAAUGUUUGUUGUAAGAAACAUAUCACUUUGGUGGGGGAUGUGGACAACUGGGAGCCUGUGGUAGCCAAGAGAUGUACAGGAAAUCUCUACCCAAUUUUGAUGUGCACCUAAAACUUCUCCAACAAAUGAAGCCUAUUAAAAACAGCAACAGUAUUACCCUAUAUGCAUGUAUGAUUACACAACUGGUAUAACUCUGUCAUGUACAACCAGAAGAAUGAGAAAUUUUAUUCCAUCUAUGUAUGAUGUGUCCAAAAUGCCUUCUACCAUUGUGUAUAAAUAGUUAGAAUAAAUUUAAAAAUAACAACAUAUUACAUCCCCCAAAAUAGAAGAGAGCCAUGUAAAUUAAAAUUAUUUAUAAUAGAUAGAAAUGAGAGAAUGCUUAGUACUUACAGGACAUGAAUAUAUAGAUUACUACAUAUUAUUAAAUAAUGAGAAUCAAAAUAUGUUUGAAGCCAAAUACUAAAUAACCAUUAACAAGUACCCAUUUUCAUUUCUAACUAUUGUAACCCAGCAUUUCCAAGGCACAUUUAUAACAAUAUCUGUCAAUGCAAUUAACAAGUAAAUGAAUAUGGAGUUUCUUGAAUGUUAAUCCUGCACAACAAAAGGCAAACACAUCAGUUUUUUAAAAACUAUUAUUUUUAAAAAGACAAAGCUAAUAUGAAAAUGCAUAUAAUAUUCUUCAUAUUCAUGCAAAUUAAAACCUCUCUACGAAAAAAAAAAUACUCUGAAGUCUAAAGUACAAUGAAACUUUUAUUUCACAUCAAAGUUUUUUUCCUACUUUUCAGUAGAUGUUCUUAUUGGAUUCAACCGCAAGAUAGUGAAAUUUGGGCUCUACUUUAGGGUCCAAAAGAUUGUGGCCUGUGGAAUUAAACAUUGUCAGGACCACAUAGGCACAACAAGUUUUGUAGCAGACAAAAUCUCACCCUUGCAUUUGAAAGAGAAAAGGAACUUUCUAUUUUCGAUGGAAGCACUUCUUGCUCGAUUGCAUUUUUAAUCUUUACAUCAGGAGUUGUAAAAAUGCCAAAAAAUGAUGUGAAAAAAGAAAUUUAAUACAUGUAUAUUGUGUCAUUUAUUUCAAAGCAUACCUUGAGAGCAUAUUUAAAGGAAUCUGAUAAUUUAUUCCAUUUCAGUGUGUGGCUAUAUACCAUAAUCUAUAGCAUAUAAAUAUUUACAAAGGGCUUUGGUUCACAUUUUGAAGUUUCCAUGCUAUGAUUUGCUAUUCCAAUUUUUAUGAUGAUAUAUAAGGAACGAAUUAAUCUAUUAAUGUUCUACCAAAUUUCACUGAAGAAUUUUGUUAGAGCCUAGCAUUUUUAAAAUAUCACAACUCUGAAUGCAUACUGAGCAUGCAUAUAAAUCUAGUGAACCAAAAUUGGUUUUCAAAAAGAUCAACAAAAGUGAAAGUCCUUUAUCUGUGUGUUUAAUAAAAAGGAAGACUCAAAUUACUAAAUUAUGAAAGUGAGAACAUUACUAUUCACUUUACAUUCAUAAAAAAUGUAUCUGUGCACAGUGGGGAUGGUUGCAGUCAUAGCUACUCAGGAAUCUAAGGCAGACAGAACACUUGAACCCAGGAGUUCAAGGUCAUCAUGUUCAAUAUGGACCUUGACUCAAAAAAAUAUAUUAUUAGAGAAAACUAUGAAAAAGUAUAUUCGAAUAAAUUGAAUAACUGGUAGUAAAUAUGAAAUUCUAAGAAACACAUCACCUUCUAAAGACUAAAUCUUGAGAAAUGAUAAAAAAGAGAAUACACAUAAAACUCACAAGGAGGUUAAACUAAUAAUCCAAAACAACUUUCCAAUGAAAAGUUCUAGACCAGAAUAUCAAGUGUACCAGAUGGUUGAUUCUGAACCACAUGGAGGGUUCUGAACCAGAUGACUUCACUAAAGAAGUGUAUCAGGGUUGGGGUUGUGGCUCAGAAGUAGAGCACUCACCUAACAUGCAUGAGGCACUAAAUUUGAUCUUCAGCACCACAUAAAGUAAAAUAGAUUGUGUCCACAUAUAACUAAAAAAUAAAUAUUUAAAAAACAAAAAUCUAUCAAAUGUUUAAAUAAGGGCUGGGAUUGUGGCUCAGUGGCAGUGUGUUUACCUAGCAUGUGUGAGGCCCUGGGUUGUAUCAACACCACAUAAAAAUAAAUAAAAAAGGUAUUGUGUACCAUCAACAGCUAAAAAAAUUUUUUAAAUGUUUAUAUAAGCAUUACCAGCUUUCUUUUCCAAACUUUUCCAAAAUUCAAAGAAAACACACCUUAUGCAUCUGAGAGGCCAGGAAUAACCUGGUACUGAAGCCAGGCAUAGAAUUGACAGGAGAAGGAAAUUCUAGAUCAUUAUUCCUUAUGAAUCCUGGUGCAGAAACGUUCACAAUGAUAGCAAGUGCAAUUCAGCAACUUAUUAAAGUGACUGUAUAAUAUGACCAAGUACAGUUUAUUCUAGCAACACAGGAAUAGCUCAACAUGUGAGCAUCAAUCAAUAAACCACAUAAGCAGACUGAAGUAGAGGGGGAAUAUCAUCAUCUCUGCUAAAGUAGAAGAAGUGUUUGAAAACAUUCAACACCUUAAGAAGAAAAAAAUUACGGUUAACAAAGUUGAACUAGAAGGAAACUACCUCAACAAAGAUAUUACAUGAAAAGCCACAGAUAACACCAUACUUAGUAGUAAAAGCUUGUUUGGUAAAAUUGGCAAAAUGUUCAGGAUGCCUGCUUUCCCCUUCCACUCAAUAUAAUAUUGAAAGUUCUGGCCAGAAGCAUAAGGAAAGAAAAUGAAAUUGAGGCAUCCAAAUGGGGAAGGAAGAAAUAAAAGUAUGUCCCAACACAGAAGACAUAACACAUAUGUAGAAAACCCUGAAGAUGUCACACAAAAGUGUUGGAACUAAUAAUUUCAGUAAAAUUGCAGAAUAUAAGGGUAACAUCCCAAAGGAAAUUGAAAACACAAUUCCAAGGCAUCACACUUGCUGAUUUCAACUAUGAAAAGCCAGGAUAUCAAGACACCAUGGUACUGGCAAGAAAACAGGCACAUAGUCCAGUAGAGCUGAGCUGAGAGCCCAGACUUCAACCCACACAUGUGGUCAAGUCAUGUUUGGGGGCCAGAAGCGCAUGAGAGGGCAAGGAAAGACUGGGCACCCACACACAGAAGGAUGAAAUUGGACCCUUAUUUUAUGUUCCAUACACAGAAAGGAACUUGAAAUGGAAGACAGAGUUAAAUAUUUAUCAGCCCUGAAACUCUCAGAAGAAAACCGAGGUGAAAUCUCUUGAUUUGGGUAUUAGCAAUGAUUUUUUGGACAUAACACCAACAGGAUGGGCAACAGAAGAAAACUAAACAAGCAGGGCUACAAAAGCAAAGGAAUCCAUCCAUAAAAUGAAAGGGUAAUGACCAAAGUGGGGGACAUAUUUACAAAGCAUAUCUGACAGGAGUUAAGAUGUCUCUAAUAGUGGGGAAAAGGCCUGCCUUGGCAUUUUCCCAAAGGAAGUGAAAGGUUACCAAUAGGUAUGAAAAGGUGCUCAGCAUCACUAAUGGCUGGGAAUGCAGAUUCAAAACCAAAAUGAGGUGUCACUGAGCACCUGUUAGGCUGGCUCUUGGCAAGAAGUCUAGAGAACAAGCGUUAGCAUGGCUAUGGAUCAAAGGGGGGACCCUUGUACACUAGUGGUUCAGAAUUUCAGCUUUACAAGUAGAGAGUUUCUGGAGGUGGGCAGAGGUGGUUACUGCACAAUAAUGUAUUUAAUAUUAUUGAAAACAUAGAAAUUAUAAAGAUGGUUAAAUUUUAUAACACAUGCUUUUCCCAUAGUUUAAAAAAUUAAAAAUUAAAAAUUCAUGUUGAAUAAAGGACUUGGAAAACAGACUUGACCUCAAAGCUCUAAAGUUGAUUCUGAGCGUUUGGUUUUUGCAUCAGCACGUUAUUCAUAUUCAUAACAGCUUGGUACUUGGCAACAGUACUACCUGAUCAUUGCUAUUAUUUUGAUUAUGCUGAAAGAUCCACAUGUCUUCUGUAAUUUGUGGUUGAUUUUUUUGGUUUCAGCAACAUUGGGGUCAUCUCUUUCCUUCCCAAAGAAGUUAGUCUCUUGAGAGCCUCUUCCUGUUACCUCCAUGUGCAGCCAGCUUGAUGGGAGCCUUGAGAAGCCAGGAGUCAUGGAAAUCAGGGGCUGCCUGCAGCCCAGAUAUUUAUAAUGAGGGGAGUUUAUGUAUAUAAAAUUAUGUCAUCUGCAAACAGGGAUAUUUAGACCUCCUUCCUUCCUGUUUGGAUGCCUUGUAUUUUCUUGUCACCUCUUAUUUCUAUGGCCAGUACUUUCAAAAGCAUAUUGAAUAUACAUGUUCUUUUGUUCCUAAUCUUACAGAAAAUGAUUUCAGCUCCUCUCUAGUUAGUGUGAUGUUGCUUUGGUCAUGGUCUCUGAACAUCCUUUCUUCAUGGUCCACUUUAUUUUCAAGAUCAUUUAUUUUGUCUUUGAGGCCUCAAACCUGUCUUCAAAGUGUUUUAGUCUGCUGGUGGUGUUUUCCAUUGAAUUUUUAAUGUGGCUUAUUGAGUCUUUCACUUCCAGGAUUUCCAUUCAGCUUUUUUUUUUUUCUUCAGAAUCUCUAUCUCUUUAUUCGAGGGAUACUUUACUUCCCAUAUUUUCUCUUUACUUUCACUCCAUAUAUCUUCUUUUAGCUCAUACAGCAAUUUAACUAUGAACUCUGUAAAUUAUUCUGACAUUUCCUCCACUGCAGUGUUGAUGGGAUCAAUUGUUAAAGCAUUAUCAGUUGAUGGGAUUGGUUGUUAAAGCUUUUGGGAUGGUUCCCUUGCCUUUUCAUAUUGUUUGUAUGUCUACCCAUCUGUUGUGAUAGCUGUCAUUUUUUUUUUUUUUUUAAAGGGACUACUUUGUGAGCCCUCGGUUGGGUGAAUAUGCAGAUAUUGGUACUUUAAGUCAAUAUGAGACUUUUGUUGAUCCCAAUAUCAGCACCACUUUGAGAAAUGCCACCAAACCCUGUUUACUAUAAUCACUCAUUACCAAGCCUCCUGCUGUUCAACCUUAUGAGAAACACAAUGUUGACAUUGUUGUGCACAGUUCCUCAAAUCCAGGUCUAAGCUGUAGUGAAGUUCUGGAAUAGGUUAAAAUUAGUUUUUCAAUUGACUAAAAUGCUAUAAUUUUAAAUGAGGGCUAAAAUUGGGGAAGAGGAAAGAUUGGGGAAAGAGAUGAAAGGGAGGAAGGAAGGAAAAGGAAGGAAGAAGGAAGGAAAAGGAAGGAUGAAGGAUGAAUGAAUGUGUUUGAGGUAGUAGCAGAUAACCAAAGAAGAUAAAUAUAAAGGGUAAGAGGAGCAGCUGUAAACUGAGCCUCUCAAAUAAGGAUAUGCAGAUUGAUUCCAGUUAAACCAGUAGAUAAAACAGUCAAAUGUGUUGAAUCUUGGCUAUUAGCAUAACCAUUAUUAUUCAAUUGAAAAAGUUCAAUGUAGACAUUAGAGUUAUUUAUAGUAAAUCAUGCCAAGGUGAAGAAAAUUCUUUUUGGAUCUUGGUUUGGGUUUCAUUGGAGUUCAGACCCAAAUGAAAGAUGUGCAUCCUUCUUUGGCUGUGGGUCCCUCCAUCAUUGCUGGGGCACAGGAGCCACUUCCCUGUUUGCUGUGAACCUCCCACUGGCCAGUUCUGGUUCAUCAGCUCGGGGGUCUGAAGUUGAUGCUUGGAGAGUUCAGUGUUGUGUUCUAGUUGUUUCUAUUGUGAGCAGGAAUUCAGGAGGCAGACUGGAGUGUCCCACUGAUUGCCAUGGGUCACUGUCUACUGCUCCCCAACACAGGAUCCUUUUCAUGAAUGUGAAUUUUCUGCAGGUACCCCCUGGCCAGUGCUGCCCUCUGGGUUACUGAGGUAAAGGGACUCAGGUGGUUCACUUGGGUUCUAGUUUCCACUACUCCAGGUUAUGAAUGGAGGGUAUUGAUUCCCUCUGUUGACUCUGACUGAUACAAAGUCCAGCCAGAGUCUAAACAAUGCCUUUUCCUUCACCACUUGUGAACACUGGUCAGGCUGGGAGCACACAUUCCCUAUUGCCAUGGAUCAUGCAAUUUUCCACCUUAACUAACCUCCCUCGGGCUAUGUUUGCAGGUGCCUACUGCUUAAGUUUCCUGGGAUAUUCAGGGAACUUGUUCUAGCAGCCUUCUACCAUAGCUGCCACCACCUGGCAAUCAGAUGUGUCACUGGAUAUUGAGACAGCUUCCCUCUGGUAUGGACUAUAAAGAUGAUGGUCCCUGAACUUCUCACAGUGCUACCCCUCUAUGUCAGUGGUUGGUGCUGCUGUGGUCCUCAUGGAUCCAUUUUCCUCUGCUCAGAGCCAAAGCUGUCUGGGUCAGUGGAUGCUGCUCAGUGUUUUUAUGUUUGUUUGUUUGUUUGUUUGUUCCUCUUGUUGCUGUUUUUGUUUUUCUUUCCCUGCCUCUGCCUGGGUUGCAGAGUGGUGGUCUAGGCGCACUUCCCAGUGCAGUCCACUCAGUCCCUUCCCCCGCUUUUGGGGGAAGGGGAGGGGGAGGGAGUUUCAGUGAUUUGGGGGCGACUAGUGGUUCCUCUAGAACUUCUUUAUGGCUCUAUUCCUAUGAGGUCCCACUCCAGGGGACUUCCCUCUGGUUACAUUUGCAGCUGUCUGGACAUAGGAAGAUAUCCUGUCAUGAGAUGGCUGUGAACCCCUGGCUCAGCUUUCCUUUCACAAUUUGGUUUUAACCUUUGAUAUGUUAUAAGGGUCCUGCUGUUCCCAUCACACUUAAAUUUUUAUCUGCCUUUCCAAAUGUUUUUAGUGGGUGAGUUUAAGUAAAUUUCUACUCUUUCUUUCUUUCUUUCUUUCUUUCUAUUGCCCCUCACCCCUUCCUCUAUCCUGGCCUGGGUUCCAGAUCAGGGAAACGUGUGCUGAUUUUCUUCUGUGGUAUCCAGUAUUUCCAGACCUAAGACUUGGUAACACUGAGUCUUUGAACCGUUGUCACUCAUCUCUCAAUUCUGAUUUUCCUUCACUGCCUCCUUUCUGUGUGGUGAGGAGAUCAGGAAUUGCUGUCUUGCUCCCUUCUACCAUCUUCCCAGUCUCUCAUUGAUUUUCUUUUAAUUGAUGCAUUAUAGUUACAUAUAAAAUUGGACUGCAUUGUGAUAUAUUCACACAUGCACAUAGUAUAAUUUGAUCAACUUUAUUCCCCAAAUUCUUCCCCUUUGCCUCUUGUCCUCCCUCACCCUUUAUUUCCUAUUUCUACUCCUGUCCCUUCUAUUUUUCGGAAGUUCCCCCAACUUUAUUCCCUUUUGUCUCCCUAACUUACAUUUAUGAGAGAAGGCAUUUGAUCCUUGCUUUCUGAAUCUGACUUAUAUAACUUGGCAUGAUGUUCCAUUGAUAUACCAGCAAAUGAAAUAAUUUCAUUUUUCUUUAUGGCUGAGUAGAACUCCAUUGUGUGUGUGUAUAUAUCACAUGUUCUUAAUCCAUUCAUCCUAUUGGUCAGCGCCUAGGCUGGUUUCAUAACUUGGCUAUUGUGCUAUAGAAUACUGAUUUUGGAUUUUUACAUAAUUACCAAGAAGUGGGAGAGCUGGACCAUAUGUGGUUCCAUUUAGAGUCAUCUCUACACUGCUUUCCAAAUUGGUAGUACUAGUUUGCAGUGCCAUCAACAAAGUAUUAACAUACUUUUUCUCCCACAUCCUCAACAAUUAUCCUUAUUUAUAUUCUUGAUAAUUGCCAUUCUGGCUGUGGUAGUAUGAAAUCUCAGUGUCGGAGGCCACCCUGCGCAGGAGCAAAGGACACCCCGUUAGCCUUGAAUAAUGAAGUAUUGAACUGGCAUCGCAAGCCACACACUGUGCGAAGCAAAGUGGGCCUUACCUUCGCUCUGCAGGGAAGUGCUUCAGCUCUGGGCUUGAGGAUUACCCAAAGGGAUUGGGCAACCCCGCUUCUGAAAUUCUAUCCCCUACCUUAUUUGGUUGGAAUAUUCCAUCGAAUGUCUUUUCCUAAUAAAUAGAGGGGUUCCUGGUGCUCUCUUGCCUUUGAGCGUGGAAGAGGACCCUAGAGGCCCUGAGAAACUCAUGUCGUGUGUUGCAUGAACUGUUUGCCAUUUUCUUAUCUUGAUGUUGCAGCCAGCUCUUUUGAAUGUGGAUUUUCCUCUGUGCCUUUAAUCCAUUUCUAGUUCAAUUUUAUGUGCUGUGUAAGAUCCAGCUUUUCACUUUUAUGUACUGUGCAAGUCCAGCUUCAUUCCUUUGCAUGUAAAUAUCCUCUUUCCCAGCACCAUACGUGGAUGAGACUCUACCUUCCCUAUUGUCAGUUCUUGGUGCCUUUUGGUGAUUGACUAUGUGUGCAUGGGUUUGUAUCUGAGUUUUCUCUUGUGUUCCAUAUUCAUGUGGUAUUCUCUACUCUCUUCUUUGUGUCAGUUUUCAUGUCAGUAUCUGAGUGGAUUAUGAGAAUCUUACAAUAUAUUUGAAAAUAAUUACUAUAAAACCUCUUCUUUGUUCUUCUUUUCUCAGGANUUAGCUUGAUGUUGCAGCCAGCUCUUUUGAAUGUGGAUUUUCCUCUGUGCCUUUAAUCCAUUUCUAGUUCAAUUUUAUGUGCUGUGUAAGAUCCAGCUUUUCACUUUUAUGUACUGUGCAGGUCCAGCUUCAUUCCUUUGCAUGUAAAUAUCCUCUUUCCCAGCACCAUACGUGGAUGAGACUCUACCUUCCCUAUUGUCAGUUCUUGGUGCCUUUUGGUGAUUGACUAUGUGUGCAUGGGUUUGUAUCUGAGUUUUCUCUUGUGUUCCAUAUUCAUGUGGUAUUCUCUACUCUCUUCUUUGUGUCAGUUUUCAUGUCAGUAUCUGAGUGGAUUAUGAGAAUCUUACAAUAUAUUUGAAAAUAAUUACUAUAAAACCUCUUCUUUGUUCUUCUUUUCUCAGGAGGAGAUGGCUAUUUAUUACCUUUUGUGGUGUCAUAUGAAUUAAAGGAUUUUCUUUCAAUAUCUAGUAAAAUUGCCAUUGAUAGAUUGACAGGAAUGUCACUGAAUCUCUUGCUUUGGGUAGCCUGGACAUCUUAACUAUCUUUAUUUUUCUAAUCCAUAAGCACACUAUAUCUUUAUAUCCAUGUAUGUCUUCAGUUUUUCUCAUCAAUGUUUUAUAAUUUGUAUGAUACAUGUAAAUUUGCUUUCUUUGAAUUCAUUUGGCUCAAUUUGCUCCGAAGUGUUUUGUUCUUUUUGGUGCAAUUGUAAAAAGAAUAUUACUAUUUGGGUUUUUUUUUUUUGAUAGAUGAUUAUUAAGGAUAUAGAAAUGCAUCUGCUUUUCUCAGGUGGAUUUUGUCUCCAGAACCUUGACUGAACUUGUUAAUUAGUUCUAACAGUUUUCAUUGGUAAAGAGUGUAGCAUUCUCUAUGAAGAGGACUUGUCCUCUGCCAACAGAGGCGGCCCUUCCUUGUUCCUUCCUGGUUUGGAUUCCUGUGGUUUCUUUUUCCUCUCAGAUUCCUCUGUCUGGGGUCUUCAGCACUACAUGGAACAGACAUUGCUGCAGUGUGGGCAGCCUCACCUUGGUCAUGAUCUUAAGGAAAAGCCACUACAUACAUACAUACAUACAUACAUUUUUCGGCCACUACAUACAACAUUUGAUGUGGUAGAUCCUGUGUGACCUUUAUUGUCUUGUGGUGCAUUCCUUUUUACCUAAUUUUUGUAGGCCAUCCGUCAUGAAAGAGUGUUGAUUUUUUUCAGAAUCAUCGUUCUACACCUAAUGAGAUAAUAUGAUUUUAUCUUUCAUUCUGUCAGUACAGUUGACCACAUUGAAUUAUUUUUGUGCUUUGAAACAUUUUUGCAACUGGGAUAAAUCUCAUUUGGUCCUAGUGCAUGAUUUAAUCAUGUUCUGUUGAAUUUAUUCUACCAGUAUUAAGGAUUUUUCUGUCUAUGGAAAUGAGGUAUAUUGCCCUGUACCUAUAGGUUUUGCUAAUAUUACAGUAACUGUACAAUCUGGCCUAUUCAAAGCUCAUCCAAGUUGUAUUAAGAAUCCUCCUUCUCAGACAGGAAAGAGAAAGCUAAGCACAUCCCCACCAUAAUUCCUUUCUAUGAACCUGAACUCGCCCUUCUGUGCUGUUCCAGGGAUGGACCCCACACAUUGAGCAAUCGCUGUGGGAGGCCAGGCCAUAAUACUCAAUCUGUCACCUGGUACCAUUAGUCCUGCACCAAAUCCUGUGGGGAAAAGCCACAGAAGUUCUCAUUUGCAUUUACUGCAGAUUUACAUCACUGAUGUGUCCUUUAUCAAAUGAGAUCCUCUGUAGAGACACCCUGAACACACCAAUGUAUUCAUAUAACAGCUUCCUUGACUUCUGUCUUUGUGGACACAGAUAGACCCACCUCAGCAGCCACAGCAUUUCCUGGAGGGUGGGGAGCAGAUGCGGCCAUCCACCCCCUCUACAUGGAAGUUACUGAAGGCUCCAGUUCUGGCCAUUUCCAACAGUGCUGGCAGGAUAAGUACCUAGCUUUCGACAUGCUGGAUGAAGGAAGGGACACAUGCUAAGGACUUGGAAGGGUGCUCCCAAAUGAUUCUGAGGAGUAUCCAUGGUCACAUCUCCCAGGGGAUCUGCCCAGGCCUCUGUCUCCUGUAUUCUCACCAGGGCUGUUCAGCACCAGCCUUAAAACCUGCCCAUUCAGUGGGGACAAACAACCUCUCAGUAGUAAGUGUGUUGACCAUGGUGUGUCAACAUUCAAAGGUUCACAGUUACUAUGCGCAGUGAUUCGUUUUUGAAUUGCAGGAAUUUGUUCUUUGUCCCCCUAGAAAAAUGAUUUUCUCAUGAAGUUUGAUGUGUCCCUGGGAUGUUAAUCUUAUAUCAGUCUAGGUUUUUUGGGGGGAGGGUCCAAUUUUAUUUUAAGUUUUAUUUAUAUUUCACAGCAGAAUGCAUUAAAUUCUUAUUACAUAUAUAGUGCACAAUUUUUCAUGUCUCUGGUUGUUUCAGAAACACUUUGCUAGUUGUAACUUGUCUUUCUAAGUAUGUAUGUUCUUUUUGUUUUUCGAUCAGGAGUCAGUCAUUUCCUUUAUGACUUCUGACCCUUGAGUCAGAAAAAAAAAUGCUUUCAACAUAAAUGUUAUCAAAGUAUUUUCUAAGAAGCUUUCAUUUUACAUAUACACUUAGACCUGCUAGAUGAGUAGCACAUAACAAUAUCCCAGUGAUUUAGGAGGCUGAGGAAGGAGGAUUUAAAGUUGGAGGUCAGUUUCCCCAACCUAGGGAGCUCCUCAGGAACUUAGUGAGACUCCAUCUCAUAAAGAAAAAAAAAAAACUGGAGAUGAGGCACUCACUAAAUGCCCCUGGGUUCAAUUUCUAAUACUAAUUAAAAAAAAAAAAAAACUAAAAAUCUUGGAUCUCUAUGGCAUUUACUAUUCAAAGAAAAUUAAUUAACAGUCCCUGCCAAUAUUGUGUGGACAAACACAAAAGUCCGACUACAAUGACAUGAAAAAGCCAGAAGAGAAAGAUCAGAGGGAGGGUGUUCCCUGGAGACAAGCAGGAGGGAGAGCAGGUGUGGGUGGGUGUGGGUACCAGACACAGGACAGUGUAAUGCACUUAAAGACAAUUAGCUGAACUUUUUAAAAAAAAUAUUACAUUUUAAAAUAAAUUAGUUUCAAUAAAAAUAGAAAAAGAAAAAAAGAAAAGGAGAGGUAAAGGGCAGUUCUGGGAUGGGAGCUGGUGCAACGGGGGUGCUCAGUCGGUGGUCCAGGCUGUGUUCCCACUGGGAGCCACAGAUCUGUUUCUGAACCUGGAGCUCUCUCUCAAGUGGUGGGUUGGUAAUUCAAGAUGAGCUGGACUUUCGUAUCUUUUAUCUUAUGUUUACGAUCUACUGCAAGUAUGUAUGUUUCUAAGUGCUUUAUUAUUCUACUUGGCUUGUUGAUAUUACUAUAAAUGAUGUCUCCACAUACUCUCUUGUUCAGCACUGGUGUGGAGAAUCACAAACUCUAAUGACAGGGAGCUGGACAUUUUUGGUUUUGCCUGCUGGAUAUGUUCCCUGUUACAAAGCAGAUUUAUCUUUUCUCCAGGCAUUGGACAUUAGUAGUAGUAGUAGUAGUAGUAGUAGUAGUAGUAGUAGUAUUUUUUUAUUUCCAAGUAACACUGCUUUGAGGCAAAGCGUUUAAGUGUUUAGGGCAGCCACAGUAAACCAGCAAGAGGCUGACACAAAAUGAAAAAGGAAAAGACCAUGGAUGUAGCUCAGCGGUAAUGUGCCCCUGGGCUCAAGCCCAGUAACAAAAAGUCAAAAUAAAAAACAUAAAAAACAUAGAUCUCUAUGGCGUUUGUCCUUCUAAGGAAACAUAAUUAGUCCCUUCCAACUUUACACAGCCCAGAAGAAAUCAGACUGCACUGGUUUAAAAAAUGCAGACUCAGCAUAUCACAGGACUAGAAGCUAAGUGGUCGCUGGGGACUAGCAGGAGGUUGGGGAGGCAGUGAUCAUAGAUACCAAAUUCCGGAAGACGUUCUGGAACUGCAUAGUGGUGACUAGUGCACAGUUUAGAGAAGGCACUUGAUGCCAAAUGACUGCGUCUUUUAACAAUGAAAAUAAAUCUUUAAUUCUAAAUAAUAAAAUAAUAAACACAGAUAAUAAAAACGAAUAAACAAAUGAGCUGGGAGAAGAACAGAGGCUCUGGGUUCCUGUCUGGAUGCAGUGCUGACUGAAGGGCCAGCAGGGUGUGUUGGCCUUGAUCGUCCACUGCAGGUUCGUCCAGCUCCAGUUCUCUAUCAGAUGGUACAGAUGAUGGACAUUGAACUGGAGCUUCCACAAGCACUAAAGCUGCUAGAGGAGUAAAGGUCCACAGACUAUCCACGUUAGGUCCAGGGACAGAAUAUUCCCUACUGCCUUUCAUACAAUUCCACACACAAACCCAACACCAGGCAGUGUUCCCAGAAUGCACACAGACAAUGACAGCUCUGCCUCUCAUUGUUCCUGCCCCGCCCCAGUUCCUGUGCAGUAUGCUCUGCUUGUCCCUCCCUGUCCCAUUCUGACAUACUCAUAACCCCACCUCAGUCCUCCUCACCUUCAGCCUGUUCCUCCAUGGGCUCAGGGUUUUCUGUCAAGGCUGGGACCUGGUGUCCGUGGUCCUCCUCCUCGGGGCUUGUGACAGUGACCUGGCUGUGCACAUUACCAAGUGGGUAGUGAGGCAAAUGCAAGUGAGGGAGUGAGGAGACCACCCAAGAGGGAUGGGGGGGGCAACAGUAUGAGAGGCCUGGCCUUUCCUACCAUGAGGUCAGUGAUCUUGGCACCCCACAGGUCAGAGGAGAGGGCUGAAGCUCAGAGAGUCACAGGGCCAGUAUCAGGACUCACAGCUGUAUGUGACCCUGUCACCCUGGGCAGGGCUUACCUUCCCAACAUUUGGCCCAUCUCUUGUUGGGUGGAGGAACUCGAGAUAUUUGAUGCCAAAGAGGAUGAUUGAAAGAACAUGGGCUCCAGGGUCUCCUCCAGGUUCCCCAGGGAGUACGCCUGGAACACAUAUCCAAUGCUGGUAUCAUCCCCUCUGUAGCCACCUUCUUGGUUGGGACAUUGAAGAAACAGAGUCAGUGCCAAACUGACCCACCAGAAGUGUCUGGGGGUGGAGUCCAGUGCAAUAGCAAAAGCAAAUAGGGGCUUGUCCCACAGAGGGACAGGAGAGCCCCAGCAGGGCAAUGGCAGAGUUCACAGUAGAAUUGCUGAGGGGAUAGUUAGAAACACAGCAGCUUCAGGCCAGUGUGUUAGCUGAGCAGAGGUGGCAGCUCUGUGCAUUUAGGAGCUUAUCCCCUGAGUCCCACCAGCACACCACCUUCUGGAGAUGGGAAAACGGGCUCAUCCCAGACAGGAGGGUCCCUGUGUGAGGACACCCAGAACAUCAUUCUCUGUGGUGCUGUUGAAAUGGCUCCAGAACGGAAUGAGGUCCAGGUCCCACAGCCCUGAAAGGCUGAAUGACUGUGGAACCUGGGUCCCCCUGGAAGGUGGUGAGGUCCUGGGGGCUCAGCUCCUACUUUCCCAGUCUGUGUUCCUUGAGAUAACAAGUACCAGAGAAAUGGACCAAUUGGCAUGAGCCUUGUAGUGUUUCAGCUAAACUCAUCCCUAGUAAUCCUGAUGAUGUGUAAGACUUGGAGAGAGUGUGGAAGGACCGUCAGGCCAUUGUCACCUGGACACCUGGGUGUUGGAGUUAUAGUCAGUUGGGUGGCAGAGUACAAAUCAUCAGAGAAUUAAAAUGAAAUAAUGUCCAUGUUGCUGUUCUGUUGUUGUCAAAAUUAUGGGAACAGUGACCUUGGAUGAGUCCAAGAACGAGGCAGGCAGAGAGGGUGAGGAGGAUGGGUGAGGAUUUGUUGUUCAGAUUCCUCAUGGUGGGGACUCUGCCCCUCCAUCUCCCAUCCCUACCAGGAAGGUGGUCCUGGUGGUGUCUGUGCUCUUAUUCUUUAGAAAUUUCCAUCCAAUGAAGGUCAAGAGGGUCAGGACAGGUGAGGUAACUCGAUCCCUGGGGAUGUAGGAAGGCAUGCCCUGGGGGAUGGAAGUCCAAAUUUUAAUGCUCCAGUAGGUUGAAUUGCAGGAUUUAUUGCCCUUAAAUCUUGUAUUAACCUCCAAUUACCUGAAUUUUUCUUAAUUACAAAAAUGGAUGUGUUCCAAGGGCUAAGUGUAGGCUCUGAAUGACCAGCUUUAAGCUAUUCUUUGACUCAAAUAUGAGCUAUUUUAAGUUUUUCCCCUGUUACAGGCCACUGACUAACCCAAAUUGGCUCUUCUGUGAGCCAAGUGAUCUUUUUUGCUACCUUUAUUUUUAGAGAGAGAGAAGAGAGAGAGAGAGAUUGAGAGAGAGAGAGAGAGAAUUUUUUAAUAUUUAUUUUUUAGUGAUUGGUGGACACAACAUCUUUGUAUGUGGUGCUGAGGAUUGAACCCGGGCCGCACGCAUGCCAGGUGAGCGCGCUACCGCUUGAGCCACAUCCCCAGCCCUUCUGCUACAUUUUGUACCGGGAAAAAGUAAGGGCCCCUACCAAAAAUUUUGGUUGGGUGCAUUAAUUAAUCUCUGUCGAGGAGACUGGUUCAUAAGUAGAGAUUCAUCCUGUAAAUUUCUUUCACUAUCCCUAGGAAUAAACCAUUGAUUAAAUUUCUCAGAUGACUUGAUAGAAUUUGGAGUUACUAAUAAUAAUCCUAAACUGCUUAGGAUAUCUCUUCCCCAUAAGUUUACUGGUAAAGAAUCUAAAUCAUAUGUCUUAAAAAUUUCAGUAUUUCCAUCUCAGUCCUCCCAGUGAAGAUAUUGGGCACUCUGGGCAGGCUGACAAAUCUGUCCUAUUUCUUCUAAAUUGGCUGGCGCAGUAUGGAAAGGCCAGGUUUGGGGCCAAAAUCAGUGAGACAAAACUGAUUUAUCUACUGCCUUUCAUAAAAUUCCACGCACAAACCCAACACCGGGCAGUGUUCCCAGUAUCUAUAACUCCUUGAAAUUUUUUAUGAUUAAUUUUUAAGUUCCAAUAGGGGGUGCUCCUGCCAAACUAAUUGGGCCCAGUAUGCUCCGCCUGGCGAUUUGGAAAUUGAGAUUUUAUCCGGACUGUCCACGGAGCUGCAGGGUAAAAGAAUUAAUUGGGCUAGCGCGUUUUUAGUAGAAAGCUGAAUGGCAUAUUCUGAUUUUACAGUAACUGUUAUUUCACCUCUAAAACAAGUAUCAAUAAUUCCCAGUAAUACUUGGAUUGACUCUUUAAAUUUCAUUCCAAAAUUAAUCCUAUAGUGCCUGGGGGUAAUGGCCCAUGAAUUCUGGUAGGAAUCCGCUGGGGUCCCAUUUCAGGUGUUAACAUGGCUAGUUGAAAGAGUACUGUGUGGGUGGUGCCUGCUAGUAAAAAUGGCGGUCCGCCAUGGCCAGCUAUCAUGACAUCAGAGCUUGUGACUCCUCCAAAUCCCCUUCUGUUUGGCAGGCCUGGGGAAAGGCAGGGUUAACUAGGACAUGUGAGGUAACUCAAUCACUGGGGAUUUAGGAAGGCAUGCCCAUGCAAGAAGACACAUUUGCGUUUUUCUGCCCUCAAGAUGGGGGCUAUUGUGUUCAGCUACUUAAAAGUAGCCACAUCACCGGGGUGACCAUCAGUGCCAUAGCUAAUCAGGAGGGGAAGCAAACGCUGGUCACAUGCUAUGGCAGCCUCCAACAAUGGAGCAAGAGCCUGUCUCAAAAUGAAAAAGGAACAAGACCAUGGAUGUAGCUCAGUGGUAAAAUGCCCCUGGGUUCCAGCCCAGUAACAAAGAAAUAAGAAUAAAAAAUAAAAAAACGUAGAUCAGUGUGGCAUUUUCCCUUCUAAGAAAACAUAAUUAGUCCCUUCCAACGUUACACAGCCCAGAAGAAAUCAUACUGCACUGGUUUGAAAAAUGCAGACUCAGCAUAUCACAGGACUAGAAAGCUAAGGGGUCACUGGGGACUAGCAGGAGGGAGGGGAGGCAGUGGUCAUGGAUACUGAAUUCCAGAAGACAUUCUGGAACUACAUUGUGCUGACUAAUGUACAGUAUAGAGAAGGCACUUGAUGGCAAAUGACUGAGACUUUUAACAAUGAAAACAAAUCUUUACUUUUAAAUAAAAUAAUAAACACAUACAAUAAAAAUGAAUAAACAAAUGGCCUGGGACAAGACCAGAGGCUCUGGGUUCCUCUCUAGAUGCAGUGCUGACUGAAGGGCCAGCAGGAUACGUUGGCCUUGAUGGUCCAAGGCAAGUGCGUCCAGCUCCAGUUCUCUAUCAGAUGGUGGAGAUGUUGGACCUCGAACGGGAGCUUCCACAAGCACCAGAGCUGCUAGAGGAGUAAAGGUCCACAGACUAUCCAUGUUAGGUCCAGGGACAGAAUAUUCCCUACUGCCUUUCAUACAAUUCCACGCACAAACCCAGCACCAGGCAGGGUUCCCAGAAUGUAUGAAGACAAUGACAGCUCUGCCUCUCAUUGUUCCUGCCCCGCCCCAGUUCCUGUGCAGUAUGCUCUGCUUGUCCCUCCCUGUCCCAUUGUGACAUACUCAUACCCCACCUCAGUCCUCCUCACCUUCAGCCUNACAGACUAUCCACGUUAGGUCCAGGGACAGAAUAUUCCCUACUGCCUUUCAUACAAUUCCACGCACAAACCCAGCACCAGGCAGGGUUCCCAGAAUGUAUGAAGACAAUGACAGCUCUGCCUCUCAUUGUUCCUGCCCCGCCCCAGUUCCUGUGCAGUAAGCUCUGCUUGUCCCUCCCUGUCCCAUUCUGACAUACUCAUACCCCACCUCAGUUCUCCUCACCUUUGGCCUGUUCCUCCAUGGGCUCAGGGUUUUCUGUCAAGGCUGGGACCUGGUGUCCUUGGUCCUCCUCCUCGGGGCCUGUGACAGUGACCUGGCUGUGGACAUUACCAAGUGGGUAGUGAGGCAAAUGCAAGUGAGGGAGUGAGGAGACCACCCAAGAGGGAUGGGGGGGGCAGCACUAUGAGAGGCCUGGCCUUUCCUACCAUGAGGUCAGUGAUCUUGGCACCCCACAGUUCAGAGGAGAGGGCUGAAGCUCAGAGAGUCACAGGGCCAGUAUCAGGACUCACAGCUGUAUGUGACCCUGUCACCCUGGGCAGGGCUUACCUUCCCAACAUUUGGCCCAUCUCUUGUUGGGUGGAGGAACUCGAGAUGUUUGAGGCCGAAGAGAAACAGUCAUAGAAGAAGGCAGGCUCCAGGGUCUCCUCCAGGUCCCCCAGGGAGUACGCCUGGAACACAUAUCCAAUGCUGGUGUCAUCCCCUCUGUAGCCACCUUCUUGGUUGGGACAUUGAAGAAACAGAGUCAGUGCCAAACUGACCCACCAGAAGUGUCUGGGGGUGGAGUCCAGUGCAAUAGCAAAAGCACAUAGGGGCUUGUCCCACAGAGGGACAGGAGAGCUCCAGCAGGGCAAUGGCUGGCAGAGUUCACAGUGGAAUUGCUGAGGGGAUAGUUAGAAACACAGCAGCUUCACCCCAGUGUGUUAUCUGAGCAGAGGUGGCAGCUCUGUGCAUUCGGAGCUUAUCCCCUGAGUCCCACCAGCACACCACCUUCUGGAGAUGGGAAAACGGGCUCAUCCCAGACGGGAGGGUCCCUGUGUAAGGACACCCAGGACAUCAUUCUCUGUGGUGCUGUUGACAUGGCUCCAGGACAGAAUGAGGUCCAGGUCCCACAGCCCUGAAAGGCUGAAUGGCUGUGGAACCUGGGUCCCCCUGGAAGGUGGUGAGGUCCUGGGGGCUCAGCUUCUACUUUCCCAGUCUGUGUUCCUUGAGACAGCAAGUACCAGAGAAAUGGACCAAUUGGCAGGAGCCUUGUGAUGUUUCAGCUAAACGCAGCCCUAGUAAUCCUGAUGCUGUGUAAGACUUGGAGAGAGUGUGGAAGGACCGUCAGGCCAUUGUCACCUGGACACCUGGGUGUAGGAGUUAUAGUCAGUUGGGUGGCAGAGUACAAAUCAUCAGAGAAUUAAAAUGAAAUAAUGUCCCUGUUGCUGUUCUGUUGUUGUCACAAAUAUGGGAAUUGUGACCUUGGAUGAGUCCAAGAACGAGGCAGGCAGAGAGGGUGAGGAGGAUGGGUGAGGAUUUGUUGUUCAGAUUCCUCACGGUGGGGACUCUGCCCCUCCACCUCCCAUCCCUAUCAGGAAGGUGGUCCUGGUGGUGUCUGUGCUCUUAUUCACUUUUAUUCUGCUCUGUGCCCUGCCAGUAGAGUCCCCCCUGUCCCGCACUUAUCCUGAGGCCCAGCUCCUGCCCAUUGGUGCUUGGCUCUGGAUAUUCCUCAGUGGACGUGGGGUUGGAGCUGAAGCUGCAGCUCCAGUGCUUAUUGAGGAUAAACUGUGGAAAGAAUGGAAGACAGUGCCUGGUAGCUGGCCGGGAGCCCCAGCCCCUGCUCGCCUCCAUUCAGGGUGUUUGUGUCUCUUGUGGCCUUCUGCUCCCCCGACCUAAUACAGACCCUGUGUCUCAGGUUUUACCCUGUAAGACAGGAAAUGAUACUGGGUGCCCAGGCCGUACCGUGGACACUUUCAUUCCCCACCUUUUUCCCUGUCCUGGGGGUGACCAUGAUAGGACACGAGGCUCACAAUCUCCCACCACCUUUUCCUGCCUCAGGUCCCUGUUCUCCCCUACUGAGGAGCAAGGUGGUGGGACUCUGCAGGGCUACUCACAGUGAUGUUCUCUCCUGGAUGUACCUCACCAGGGCUAUCAGGUGUGGACCUAAAGCUACUCCUCCCACUUUCAGGUGUGCCAAUUGGAGGAGGACCAUCAGCGAGGCACAGGCAGCAGCACAUGAAGCAACUUCGCAGUUGUUUCCAAAAGUUUCUUCUUUUGGGUGUCCAGUGGAUUGGGUCUGGGGAAGGGGCCGUGCAGCCAUAGGGGGAGCUCUGGCGACGUGGCCUCCUAAAGGGUCGGCCUCCACAGGGGAAGCAGGACAACAUGUUUUGGCUUUCAAAGUAUUUCACCAAAUGAGCUGGGAGGAGGCUGUUGCUAGAAUGUGGGUGCCUGGUUACUGGGUUCCAAGUUCUGUUUGACUCUAUGACCAAGGAAGGGGGCCCAUGUCUUGGGGUUCCUGGCCUAACCCAUCCUCCAGAUAAGCCCAUGUUUGUCCCUCUGUUGGCUCUCCUCCAGCCCCAUGCCAUUGCCAUAUGUUUACACAGCCAACCCCAACACUAGCCCCACAUCCCUUGGCAGGCAUGGGUGUAGCCAGGGUCCCAGCUCUGAGGAGACACAUCUAGGUUUCAACCCUGCUCCUCCUCCUGUCCUCUCAUGUGACCUUGGACAAGUCAUCAUGUCUCUAAGGCUUGCCCAGUGUCCCCCUGCACAGUGUCUACUUCCUAGCACUGUCACCAGGCAUAUCUGACAUAACACUUAGAAACGAUGUUGUCAAAUGUCUGUAAUGCACAAAAGUAGAGAUAAAAUAUGGAAACAGGUGAAAUUUUAACGUAGAAUAGAGCUAAGGACAGGCCUAGUCUCCUGCCUGCUGACUUUGAAAAUGCCAUUUUCCUUCCUGGCCUUCUUUCUCUGUCUGCAUCUUGAGGGGGUUGAAAUGCAAUUAGUGGGGAUAUCCUCAUCUCCCAGAGCCACCCACCUUGUUCUCUUUGGGAUGAGAGUAAGCACAGUCACAUUUAGUAAAUGAAUGAGCAAGAAUACCUUCACCUCCAUCACCCUUUCUACUCAAGUCCCAUCAAAAUAAUAAUAAUAAUAAUAAUAAUAAUAAUAAUAACCCUUCAAAAGAUCACUGUGAAGAACUCCAUACCAGGUAGGUACAGAACAUAUUCAAAAAUCUAUAACUAUGUGUAUUUGUAACUCUGUAGCAAAAUUACCUGAAAUUUUGUGGCUUAAAACAGAGAAAUUUAUUUUCUCAUGGUUCUGGAGGUGAGAAAUCUCAACAUGCCACAGGGCCAUGUUCCCUCUAGUCUCUAAACAACAAUCCUUUCUGAUCUUUUUCAAUUUUUAAUGGCCCUAUGUUUUCCCAGGUUUAGGACAGUGUCACUCCAAACUCCACCUCCAAUCUUCACAUAGCCUCCUCCUUAUUCUGUGUCCUCUCCUCUUCUUGAAGGGACACUUGACAUUAGAUUUAGAGCCCAUUCAGAUAAUACAGCAUGAUCAUCAUGAUCUCAUCUUGAGAUCCUUAAUUACAUGUGCAAGGAUCUUUUUCCAAAUACAGUUAGAUUCACUCAUUCUGAGACAAACCCACAGAAUACAGUUACUCAUACUAGACAAAGGUGCCAAAAACAUACAUUGGAGAAAAGAUAGCCUCUUCAAAAAAUGGUGUUGGGAAAACUAGAAAUCCAUAUGAUGCAAGAUGUAAUUAAACUCCUCUCUCCCUGCACAAAACUCAACUCAAAGUGGGCCAAGGACUUAGGCUUUAUAACAGAGACCCUACACCUAAUAGAAGAAAAAAGGAGACUGAAAUCUAUGUCAGCUUAGGAACUGAGUUCCUUAUCAAGACUCCUAAAGCACAAGGAGUAAAAUCAAGAAUUAAUAAAUGGGAUGGAAUCAAACUAAAAACCUUCAUCACAGCAAAGCAAACAAUCAAGCACAUGAAGAGAGAGCCUACAAAAUCAGAAAAACUCUUUACUUGCACCUGCACCUCAAAUACAGCAUUAUUCUCCAGGAUACAUAAAGAACUCAACAAACUCAACAACAACAACAACAAAAAUAACCCAAUGAAGAAAUAAGCAUCCAGCAGCUAGAGAGGCUGGGAUGGGAAGAUCACAAGUUCAAAGCCCAGCCUCAGUAACCGCAAGGUGCUAAGCAACUCAGUGAGACCCUAUCUUUAAAGAAAAUAUAAAAUAGGUAUGGGGAUGUGGCUCAGUGGUUGAGUGCCCCUGAGUUCAAUUCCCAGUAUCAAAAAAAAAAAAAGGAAAUAAUCAAAGGAACUAAACAGAUACUUCACAAAAGAAGAAGUAUGAUCAGAUAAAAAAUAUGAGAAAAUGUUCAACAUCUCUAGCAAUUAGAGAAAUGCAAACUAAACUAAAACCAUACAAGUAACAGCAAAUGUUUGCAAGGAUGUGGGAAAACAAGUACACUCAUACAUUGCUGGAGGGACUACAAAUUGGUGCAACCACUCUGGAAAGCAGUAUGGAGAUUCCUUAGAAAAGUUGAAAUGGAACUACCAUUUGAUCCAGUUAUCCACUUCUUGGCUUAUACCCAAAGGACUUAAAAUCAGACUACUACAGUGACACAGUCACAUCAAUGUUUAUAGCAGAUCAGUUCACAAUAGCCAAACUAUGGAGCCAAUCUAGGUGCUAUUCAACAGAUAAAUGAAUAAAUAUGCGGUAUAUAUACACAAUGGAAUAUUAAUAAGCAAUAAAGAAGUAUGAAAUUAUGGCAUCUGCUGGUAAAUGGAUAGAACUGGAGAAUAUCAUGCUAAGUGAAGUAAGCCAGUCCCCAAAAUCUAAAGGUCAAGGCUUCUCUCUGUUAUGUAGAUGCUAACCCAUAAUCAGGUACAGUAGGCACAGGAAGUAUAGAAGUUCACUGGAUUAGGCAAAGGGAAAUGAAGGGAAGAGAGGGGAGAUGGGGAAAGGAAAGGCAGUAGAAUGAAGCACACAUUACUUUCCCAUGCUAAUAUACGAAUACACGACCAGUGUAACUCCACAUCAUGUUCAACCACAAGAAUGGGAUCAAAAUUAUAAUGGGUUGUACCCCAAGUAUGUAUGGUAUGUCAAAAUACAGUUGACUGUCCUGCAUCUCUAAAAACAAACAAACGCUGAAAGUGAGAUGUUGAGGAUUGAAGGUCAGUAGUCACCUGGUAAGACCAAUCCCAGCAGUUCACACUGUGCUUUAUUCUGUUCACCAAAUAGGUCUUAGACCUGGGAAGUCUUCUUGUCAUACCUCACAGGAUGGCUCCACCUUAAGCCAAAAUGUGUUUGAAUUUUGUUAUUUCAUAGGCCCAACUUAGUUUUCCAUAAAGCAAAAUCAACAUUCAUCUUAUGGUGUACUUCAGUUUGUUAUUGUAGUUCCCUCUUAUCAAAAAUUUCAAUUUCUGUGGUUUCACUAAAAUGUGGUCCAAAAACAGUAAAUUUAAAACUACAGAAAAAAAAACCACUGUGUAAGUUUUAAAUUUUUCACAAUUCUUAAUACAAUGAUCAGGUAUUAAGAUUAGGUAGCAUCAUUCUCUAUCAUGACUAUGCCGUGAAUCAUCCCUUUGUCCUAUGAUGCAGGACGUGUAGUCGACCCACACAUUAGUUCCUAAACAGCCAUCUGGUCAUGAGGUAAACUGUGGUGGUUUGCACUGCUUGUACAUGGAGUUCAAUUCUAUCUGUAAUUUCAGGUUUCUACAUAGGAUAUUGAAAGGGAUCCAAUUCACAUUGAAGUCUUUCUCUUGGAACCAAAGAAGAACUGGAACAUGACUUUGAGAAACAUUUCUUUUUCCUAGGCUUCUCUGAUCUCUCUCAGCUAUAGAGACAUUGGGUUUUUUUUCAUCUCUACUUUUCAACAUAAACCAGUUCCUCCACUGAGUACCCUGAAACUUCCUGCCUUUUGCCCCAUUGCAAACUCUGUGGAAAAGAGCAUUUACUCACAUAGCUCCCUCUUCCUAAUACGCUGCAUGCCACACUGGAAUCUCUCCUCUAGAACACUAUGAUCCCCCAACAUGGCUCCAGCAUCAGUUCUGACUUUCUCCCCAUACAUUGAUUAAUUUGAGUCUCUGCUCUCCUGUGCUCAUCAGAGGUAGUUGGACAGUUUGUGUGUUCCUCCUCUGGCUUCUGCUCUGGAUCCUACUGGGUUGUUUUAGUGUUUCGGGGUGACAAUUCUCUACUGAAAAAGAAAAGGGUGACAAGUAUCUUUUAUAAACAUAUUAUUAAUUUGCUCUCAUAAGAGUGACCUCCAAUACUUGUGGCAGCUCUAGCUCCAGCUCCAUCACCAUCCUGAGAACCAGAGGAGCCGUUGCCAGAAACUCCUUCACCACCAGCUCCAGAUCUCAGGUACUAGAGGCUCAACAGCCAGUGCCAGCUCCUGAGCUGCACCUUGGACCUGCUAUGCCCAGAGCAGCCCUUCACCUCCCUUACCAUUUCACUUGUUUUCCUAUUAGUUUUGGUUAUUUUUUAUUUGCUGAUGAUUAAUUUUAAAUAAAAUUUAGUAGUUUACUCAUUUGAAAUAUUUAGUUCAAUGCAAUUAAGUGCAUGUUCAAUGUUGUAUAACCAUCACCAUUGUCUAGUUCCAGAAUAUUUUCCUCAAUCCUGUCCCCGCUCAUUGUCCUGGUUGGCCCCAGCAGCCACUCAUCAUUCUAUCCAUGUGUUGCAGAUUUGUAAUCAACAGAUAGUUGCCGGACAUCUGCUCUCUGCAUCACUGUGGGGAUGGAGGCAGAUGCAGGGCACUGUGCCACGUCACUUCUCACCCCUCCACCAAAUCAGAGACUCCUGGACUCUACCUGAUGUUUCCUGCCAACCUUACCAACUUUCAGGUUGGCCUUAUAGUGUCCUUGCCUCCCAUUUCAAGAAACGGAAGAUACAUUGUCCCCAUCAUGCUUUAAAGAAGACUGAAAUUAUGGCAAUAAUAAGACAAUCCCUCAAAAUACAAAGGCCAAAUGUUUUUUCUAACAUGUGGAUGCUAAUUGACAAUAAAGUGGGGGGCACUAGAGAAGAACAUCAUUACCUUAGACUAGGUAGAGGGAAAUGAAGAAAGGAGAGUGGAGGGGAUAUAGGAAUAGGAAAGACAGUAGAAUGAAACAGACAUUAUUACUGUAUUAUAUAUGUGACUACAUGAUUAAUAUGAUUCUGCAAUAUAUACUCAGAAAAAUGAGAAAUUAUAUCCCAUCUAUGUAUGAUAUAUCAAAGUGCAUAAAUGUCAUGUAUAACUAAUUAAAACAAAUUAAAAAUUAAUUAAAAAAGAAAAGGUAAGCCUCGGUUAGAUGGAACGUUCACAUCAUGUGGAUGUCUUUCUCUGUAUGUGCUUAUAUUUCUAAUUUCAUAGUCAGGCAUGGCCUAACAAUGGGGACUCUUUAUGAGAAAUGUAUCAGUAGGUGAUAUCGUCCUCUGAGAUCACUAUAGAGUGUACUUGUACAGGGGAAGAAGGCUAUGAUGUCACCAGGCAGUAUACUCUCAGGGGACCCCCAUCUUAUAUGCAGCCCAUCGCUGACUGUGAGGUUGGUAUGUGUUGCAUGCUUGUACAUCCAUAGGUCUUUGCCUCUGGACUGAGCCUUCAGAUGCUGGCAGGUUGGAUUUCUCUUUUUUCCUCCCCACCCUUCCAUCUCACUGUGCUCCCUAACACCAUUCUGCACUCAUCACUACCUAGUGGAUCAUCCCAGUUCCCUCCAUUAAAAGGCCGCCUCCAGUAGAAUGAGACAGACAUUAUUACUCUACAUACAUGUAGGAUAUAGUCAACUACUGGUGUGACCCUGCAUGAUGUACAGCCAGAGGAAUAAGAAGUUGUGCUGCAUUCAUAUACAGUGUGUCAAAAUGCAUUCUACUGGCAUAUACAACUAAUUAGAACAACAACAACAAAAUCCACACCUGGAUCUUCUCUGGAACCCUCCAGCAGGCUAGGGCUCCUUCACAUACAUUCUUCCAGAUGACACACCAGUUGUGGGAGCUGGUGACUUAGGAGGAUGACUGCCAGAGGGUAAGAGGGAGUGGGGACAGGGACGCUGAACUUGGCUUCUCCCUGCUGCACAUCACUUCUGAUGUAGGUGGAUCCCUCCUGGACACCAUCCAAUCCCUGCCAACAGCAGGUGGGGUCCUGGCUACCAACUCUUUAAUGCCCAAUAGUGAGCAGCAAGAGGACACUAAGUUUUAGCAAAUAGUCAUCUCCAGUCAUACCUCUCAGUAUCCAAGUGGGAUAGGUCACAGAACCCCUUGAAUACCAAAAUCACCAUAUGCUCUACUCCCUUAAAAAAUUGUGUAGAAUUUGCAUGUAACCUCCACAGUCUUCCUUCCAGAUACUUUAAAUCAAACUGAGAUUCUUUAAGAUGUAAAUGCUUUGAAAUGGUUGUCAAGGUCUUUUUUAGGGAAAAAUGACAAGGAAAAAAGUCUUUAAGUAUUCAGUAAUGAAGUGAAUAUUUUUUCAAACAUUUCCAUCUGAGGGUGGUUGAGUCUGUGGAUGCAGAAGCUGAGCCUACAGAAGGCUGACUACUGAUUACAGAGUCUUCUCUAGAAAGGCACAAAAUGGGCAGAACUGGACCCAGAGGCACCUUCUGGGGAAAUGAAGAAUAGAACCUUCAUCUCUCUCUAACUGUUGCCAGUCAUAGUGACUUGUGUCCAAGAAGCUGAGGGUUUGCAACCCCAGAAGGUGAGAGGGAGCUAGAGGAAAUCUUCCCCCAACGAUGCUGUGGAGGUCCCCAAUCCUCACUGCAUCCCUCAAACUUCCCUGCGGUCAGGAACGAUGGAAAACAUGCCCUAGUUUUCAAGAAGCCACCACUGAGUUAAGACAAGGGCAGCCCACUAGGGCAGAAAGCAGGGCUGGAGGAUGGAGGGGCAGGGCCAGAGCCCUUCCCACCAGGUCAGCUGUUGGGUAGGACAGCAAAGUGCAGGUUACUGUCAGCUAUUCAUCAGCCCACUCAGACCAGCCGGAGUCCCUCUUUGCUUCCUGGCCCCCACCCAGCUGUACAUCCCCCUGGGGACCAGUCCAGGCUCUGGGAGGACCACAGCCACGCACACCAGGAGAAUGUGCCAGGACAUGCUUUGGUUGGCACUGCUGGUCUGUCUGUGCUUGGGAAGCCCCACCCUGGGUCACAACAAAUAACACAAAUGCAUCCUUAUCACACAAGAACUGCACUGAAAAAAUGGAAAGAAACUUGUAUUACUGUGAAAAAACCACAUAAAUGAAAUUAACAAGCAGAAAUGUGAUAUACAUGUCUUAGCUCAGACUUUGGCUCACAUUUGCUGGGUUCACUCCCUCCUCAACAUCAGCAUCUCAUGAAUAUUCCACUAUGUGUUGCAAU